This 1446-nucleotide ribosomal RNA is filed under the name uncultured bacterium. RNAcentral's name for it is "bacterial SSU rRNA". It matches the Rfam family "Bacterial small subunit ribosomal RNA". The record is from RNAcentral.
AGAGUUUGAUCCUGGCUCAGGAUGAACGCUGGCGGCGUGCCUAACACAUGCAAGUCGAACGAAGUCUUCGGACUUAGUGGCGGACGGGUGAGUAACGCGUGAGAACCUGCCUCGAGGAGGGGGAUAACAGCGGGAAGCUGCUGCUAAUACCCCAUAUGCCGAAAGGUGAAAAGAAAUUUGCCUUGAGAGGGGCUCGCGUCCGAUUAGCUAGUUGGUGAGGUAAGAGCUUACCAAGGCGACGAUCGGUAGCUGGUCUGAGAGGAUGAGCAGCCACACUGGGACUGAGACACGGCCCAGACUCCUACGGGAGGCAGCAGUGGGGAAUUUUCCGCAAUGGGCGAAAGCCUGGCGGAGCAACGCCGCGUGGGGGAAGAAGGCCUUUGGGUUGUAAGCUCCUUUUCUCAGGGAAGAAGAACUGACGGUACCUGAGGAAUCAGCCUCGGCUAACUCCGUGCCAGCAGCCGCGGUAAUACGGAGGAGGCAAGCGUUAUCCGGAAUUAUUGGGCGUAAAGCGUUCGUAGGCGGCGUUUCAAGUCUGCUGUCAAAGGCCGAGGCUCAACUUCGGAAAGGCAGUGGAAACUGAAAAGCUAGAGGUCGGUAGGGGCAGAGGGAAUUCCCAGUGUAGCGGUGAAAUGCGUAGAUAUUGGGAAGAACACCGGUGGCGAAAGCGCUCUGCUGGGCCGAACCUGACGCUGAGGGACGAAAGCUAGGGGAGCGAAUGGGAUUAGAUACCCCAGUAGUCCUAGCCGUAAACGAUGGAGACUAGGUGUUGCCUGUAUCGACCCGGGCAGUGCCGAAGCCAACGCGUUAAGUCUCCCGCCUGGGGAGUACGCACGCAAGUGUGAAACUCAAAGGAAUUGACGGGGGCCCGCACAAGCGGUGGAGUAUGUGGUUUAAUUCGAUGCAACGCGAAGAACCUUACCAGGGCUUGACAUCCCGCGAAUCUCGGCGAAAGUUGAGAGUGCCUACGGGAACGCGGAGACAGGUGGUGCAUGGCUGUCGUCAGCUCGUGUCGUGAGAUGUUGGGUUAAGUCCCGCAACGAGCGCAACCCUCGUCCUUAGUUGCCAUCCUUAAGUGUGGCACUCUAGGGAGACUGCCGGUGAUAAACCGGAGGAAGGUGGGGAUGACGUCAAGUCAUCAUGCCCCAUAUGUCCUGGGCGACACACGUACUACAAUGGUCGGGACAGCGAGCAGCCAACUUGCGAAAGUGAGCUAAUCUCUCAAACCCGGCCUCAGUUCAGAUUGCAGGCUGCAACUCGCCUGCAUGAAGGAGGAAUCGCUAGUAAUCGCAGGUCAGCAUACUGCGGUGAAUCCGUUCCCGGGCCUUGUACACACCGCCCGUCACACCAUGGAAGUCGGCCAUGCCCGAAGUCAUUACUCUAACCGUUCGCGGAGGAGGGUGCCGAAGGCAGGGCUGAUGACUGGGGUGAAGUCGUAACAAGGUA